CCUACGGGUGGCAGCAGUGGGGGAUAUUGCACAAUGGGGGGAACCCUGAUGCAGCGACGCCGCGUGGGUGAAGAAGCGCCUCGGCGCGUAAAGCCCUGUCAGCAGGGAAGAAAAUGACGGUACAUGAAGAAGAAGCCCCGGCUAACUACGUGCCAGCAGCCGCGGUAAUACGGAGGGGGCAAGCGUUAUCCGGAUUUACUGGGUGUAAAGGGGCGGAAGAGGGGGUGGCAGGCCAGGAGUGAAAGCCGGGGGCCCAACCCGGGGAUUGCUCUUGGCACUGCGUGGCUGGAGUGCAGGAGGGGCAGGCGGAAUUCCUGGUGUAGCGGUGAAAUGCGUAGAUAUCAGGAGGAACACCGGUGGCGAAGGCGGCCUGCUGGACUGCAACUGACGUUGAGGCCCGAAAGCGUGGGGAGCAAACAGGAUUAGAUACCCCAGUAGUC
This 440-nucleotide ribosomal RNA is filed under the name uncultured bacterium. Its description in RNAcentral is "partial 16S ribosomal RNA". It matches the Rfam family "Bacterial small subunit ribosomal RNA", at positions 338 to 795 of the family's 1533-position model. The record is from RNAcentral.